Molecule: ribosomal RNA, 468 nt
Filed under: uncultured bacterium
Lineage: Bacteria
Description: partial 16S ribosomal RNA
Rfam family: Bacterial small subunit ribosomal RNA
Source: RNAcentral
GACGAACGCUGGCGGCGUGCUUAACACAUGCAAGUCGAACGGACAGGCCAUGCUCUUGCGGGUUGCUCGUGUGCCGAGCGGGUGUGUAUCACGUGUGUAACCUGCCCUUGACUUUGGGAUAACUUCUGGAAACUGGGGCGAAUACCGCAUAGGAUCUCCUGCUGCAUGGUGUGGGAUGGUAAGUUUCGGCGGUUGGGGAUGGUCUCGAUGGUUAUGCGCUUGUUGGUCGGGUAGUGGCGGACCAAGGCUGUGAGGGGUAGCAGGCAUUGGAGCGUGACCGGCGACAUGGGGACUGAGAGACGGACCAGACGGCAACCGGACGCAGCAGGGGGGAACAUUGCAGAAUGGGCGGAAGCCUGAUGCAGCAACGCCGCGUGCGGGAUGACGGCCUACGAGGGGUAAACCGCUGUCGCCGGAGACGAAGACUGAGUGACGGUAAUUGAUAAGGAAGCACCGGCUAACUACGUG